This 256-nucleotide ribosomal RNA is filed under the name uncultured Hyphomicrobiales bacterium. Its description in RNAcentral is "partial 16S ribosomal RNA". It matches the Rfam family "Bacterial small subunit ribosomal RNA", at positions 149 to 420 of the family's 1533-position model. The record is from RNAcentral. Lineage: Bacteria; Pseudomonadati; Pseudomonadota; Alphaproteobacteria; Hyphomicrobiales.
CCGGGAAACUGGAGCUAAUACCGUAUCCGCCCUUUGGGGGAAAGAUUUAUCGGGGAAGGAUGAGCCCGCGUUGGAUUAGCUAGUUGGUGGGGUAAAGGCCUACCAAGGCGACGAUCCAUAGCUGGUCUGAGAGGAUGAUCAGCCACAUUGGGACUGAGACCCGGCCCAAACUCUUACCCAAGGCAGCAGUGGGGAAUCUUGGACAAUGGGCGCAAGCCUGAUCCCUCCAUGUUAUAGAAAUGAUGAAGCCGGUAAG